This is a long non-coding RNA of Herpailurus yagouaroundi (jaguarundi), 785 nucleotides long. RefSeq lists it as uncharacterized. Lineage: Eukaryota; Metazoa; Chordata; Mammalia; Carnivora; Felidae. The record is from RefSeq and is a predicted model, not a curated record. The transcript has 3 exons.
CUUCAUUUAGUUGUAUGUUUUCCAAGGACAGAGAUAAGAUUUUUCCCUGUUCUGCUUCUGAAGCAGGUCAACCUGGAUCUAGUAAGACCAAAUAUUUAUGGACAUAUGUCCCAAAGGCUUUCAGGGUUCUCUGGCCUCCAUUCUAAAACUAUUAGGAAGAAAGAGUUGGAGGUGGAACCAUGUGGAAUUUUAGCAAAAAAUCGAAUCCAUGAGAAAACCAGCCAUUUAGCAGUGCAUGCGGCACUUCUGUCAGCAGCAGUUACACAAAUGUUACCUGCAUUGACAUCUGUAGCAGCCAAACUGCCUCAAGUUAAAACAAUUUGAAGCACAGCUCCCUGUGAUCACUCGUGGGUUUUGUUGCUGGUGCAUCACAGUCCAACUUCUCCCUCUGCCCAGAGCACCUGCCUUCACUCCCUCACCGGCGUUGCUCCUCAGGGCACUUCCCAGUCCUCAUGCAAAUCUCAGUGUGUGUCCUGGGAGGACCCAAAGUAAAACACCUUAUGAAAUUAUUUCAAUUAAAGCAGCCUGGUGUCCAGUGGCAGAACAACACUAGACCAGAACCGGCUGAGGGCAGAGUUUGGUGGGAUGGGUGUUGACUAGGGCCCUUGGUGGCCCACACACCCCAAGGAGUGUGAGGGAAUUGGGUCCGAGUAGGCCCUGGAAAUAUGUGGGAGUGUUUUCCCUUGUCACAAUAUGUCAGAUGGGAAGAACCAGUUUUUUUUCUCACAAGAAAAAAAACUGUUGCAGAAACAAAAGGUGUAAAAAGAAAUAAACUGUAAACCUUA